This 254-nucleotide ribosomal RNA is filed under the name uncultured bacterium. RNAcentral describes it as "partial 16S ribosomal RNA". It matches the Rfam family "Bacterial small subunit ribosomal RNA", at positions 524 to 776 of the family's 1533-position model. The record is from RNAcentral.
UACGGAGGGGGCUAGCGUUGUUCGGAAUUACUGGGCGUAAAGCGCACGUAGGCGGCUUUGUAAGUUAGAGGUGAAAGCCCAGGGCUCAACCCUGGAAUUGCCUUUAAGACUGCAUCGCUUGAACAUCGGAGAGGUAAGUGGAAUUCCGGAGUGUAGAGGUGAAAUUCGUAGAUAUUCGGAAGAACACCAGUGGCGAAGGCGACUUACUGGACGAUUGUUGACGCUGAGGUGCGAAAGCGUGGGGAGCAAACAGG